GUGGCUUUUAUAUACGACUGUAAUGCAAUGAAAUAGAAGAAAAGUUACUGUGGGAUCCUGCUGUGCGGCCAUAGGUCUUUUCAUAAUUAAUUACUUACAAGACGAUUCACAAUUUCUAAUGUGAAGGAAAUGCAUGUUCCCACCUCCAUAUCCUUGUGUUGUUUUUCUAAUUAAAAUUUAACAAUAUAUCAACAUUUCUACCAUGUAUAUAUACACUUUAAUUCUA
RNAcentral lists this long non-coding RNA (226 nucleotides) under Mytilus galloprovincialis (Mediterranean mussel). The record is from RNAcentral. Lineage: Eukaryota; Metazoa; Mollusca; Bivalvia; Mytilida; Mytilidae.